Molecule: ribosomal RNA, 304 nt
Filed under: uncultured bacterium
Lineage: Bacteria
Description: partial 16S ribosomal RNA
Rfam family: Bacterial small subunit ribosomal RNA
Source: RNAcentral
CAGCAGUCGCCGCGGGAAUACGAAGGGUGCAAGCGUUAAUCGGAAUUACUGGGCGUAAAGCGCGCGUAGGCGGUUUGUUAAGUCUGCUGUGAAAUCCCCGGGCUCAACCUGGGAAUGGCAGUGGAUACUGGCAAGCUAGAGUGUGUCAGAGGAUGGUGGAAUUCCCGGUGUAGCGGUGAAAUGCGUAGAGAUCGGGAGGAACAUCAGUGGCGAAGGCGGCCAUCUGGGACAACACUGACGCUGAAGCACGAAAGCGUGGGGAGCAAACCGGAUUAGAUACCCCAGUAGUCCCUGUCUCUUAUAC